UACGAAGGGGACUAGCGUUGUUCGGAUUUACUGGGCGUAAAGCGCGCGUAGGCGGAUCGCUAAGUCAGGGGUGAAAUCCCAGGGUUCAACCCUGGAACUGCCUUUGAUACUGACGGUCUGGAGAUCGGGAGAGGGAUGCGGAAUUCCAGGUGUAGCGGUGAAAUGCGUAGAUAUCUGGAGGAACACCGGUGGCGAAAGCGACUGUCUGGGGUGCUUGUGACGCUGAGGCGCGAAAGCCAGGGGAUCAAACGGG
Molecule: ribosomal RNA, 253 nt
Filed under: uncultured bacterium
Lineage: Bacteria
Description: partial 16S ribosomal RNA
Rfam family: Bacterial small subunit ribosomal RNA
Source: RNAcentral